CCCUUAGAUGUCCUGGGCCGCACGCGCGCUACACUGAUGCAUUCAACGAGCUUAUAACCUUGGCCGAGAGGCCUGGGCAAUCUUGUUAACGUGCAUCGUGAUAGGGAUAGAUUAUUGAAAUUAUUAAUCUUGAACGAGGAAUUCCUAGUAAACGCAGAUCAUCAAUCUGCAUUGAUUACGUCCCUGCCCUUUGUACACACCGCCCGUCGCACCUACCGAUUGGAUGGUCCGGUGAAGCCUCGGGAUUGUGGUUCUUGCCGCUUUAUUGUGGCGUGACCGCGAGAACUUGUCUAAACCUUAUCAUCUAGAGGAAGGUGAAGUCGUAACA
This 328-nucleotide ribosomal RNA is filed under the name uncultured eukaryote. RNAcentral describes it as "partial 18S ribosomal RNA". It matches the Rfam family "Eukaryotic small subunit ribosomal RNA", at positions 1470 to 1796 of the family's 1831-position model. The record is from RNAcentral.